This 424-nucleotide ribosomal RNA is filed under the name uncultured bacterium. RNAcentral describes it as "bacterial SSU rRNA". It matches the Rfam family "Bacterial small subunit ribosomal RNA", at positions 85 to 507 of the family's 1533-position model. The record is from RNAcentral.
GUGACUGGAGUGGGCGGACGGGUGAGUAACGCAUGGGUAACCUGCCUCACACAGGGGAUAACAGUUAGAAAUGACUGCUAAAACCGCAUAACAUGGCGAGACCGCAUGACCUUGCCAUCAAAUAUUUAUAGGUGUGAGAUGGGGCCUGCGUCUGAUUAGCUAGUUGGUGAGGUAACGGCUCACCAUGGCGACGAUACAUAGGGGGACUGAGAGGUUAACCCCCCACACUGGUACUGAGACACGGACCAGACUCCUACGGGAGGCAGCAGUGAGGAAUAUUGGUCAAUGGACGCAAGUCUGAACCAGCCAUGCCGCGUGCAGGAAGACGGCUCUAUGAGUUGUAAACUGCUUUUGUACAAGGGUAAACCUCGGUACGUGUACCGAGCUGAAAGUACUGUACGAAUAAGGAUCGGCUAACUCCGUG